UGCAACGUCCAUAGGCGUCUCCGAACGCCC
This 30-nucleotide small RNA is filed under the name Bombyx mori (domestic silkworm). RNAcentral describes it as "ovarian small RNA-33334". Lineage: Eukaryota; Metazoa; Arthropoda; Insecta; Lepidoptera; Bombycidae. The record is from RNAcentral.